GGACGCAUAGCUCAGCUGGUUAGAGCGUUCGCCUCACACGCGAGAGGUCGAGGGUUCGAGUCCCCCUGCGUCCA
This is a transfer RNA of 74 nucleotides. It matches the Rfam family "tRNA". Rfam says of the family: Transfer RNA (tRNA) molecules are approximately 80 nucleotides in length. The record is from Rfam.